GAGAGUCUUUUGCCCCCCUCUUCCUCUCUCUCUCUCUCCCAUCUGUCUUGUUGAUCCAACCAAUUCAACGUACGCUCGUCCACCAUUCCCCCAAAUCUUUAUAUCAUUUGACGUCCCAAAUCUUUAUAUCAUUUGACGUCAUUCUUCUUUCUUUCAUUAUGAGUCCGAGAGAAGGGAGGAGGCCACGGAUCGACCGGUGGUUUUGAAGGGUGAUGAGAUUGGAGAAGGAGCGGCAGCGGCUGUGGGGCCUUCUCGAGGAAGAAUCGGAGGAGGAACGAUAGGGGUUUGAUUGAUGUUAGGUGAAGGCGUCGGCGUCGACGUGGGCUGGGAGGCGAAUCAUCAGCUUCUCAUCGAUGGAGACGUGGUGGUUGCCGAGGAAUGCCACUUCUGAUGCUCCGCUUCCUAAUUCUACUCGACUGUCCUCUCAGAUGGAAUGGCAGAUCCGGCCAAUUAUGGGAACCCCGACCGUGACAUACAACAAGGCAUGUGCUAUGGUUUAUAUGAAAAAAUGGGUGUUGAUUGGCUUGCACCUCCCGC
Musa acuminata AAA Group (dessert banana) is the source of this 537-nucleotide long non-coding RNA. RefSeq lists it as uncharacterized. The record is from RefSeq and is a predicted model, not a curated record. The transcript is spliced from 3 exons. Lineage: Eukaryota; Viridiplantae; Streptophyta; Magnoliopsida; Zingiberales; Musaceae.